AAAGUUUAUUUCAGGGAGGCGGGACUUCCGCUGUCUUCUCGAAAAUUAUUCGAGGCCUCUCUCCAUGCGGUUUGGUCGCCUCAUUAUUUGAUUUUUGUUGAACGUCAGAUAGACACACAAACAUGGCUGAGAACGAUGUCGACAAUGAACUACUUGAUUAUGAAGAAGAUGAGGAGCCUCAGGGAGCCCCAGAGAGUGCUGCUCCUGUAGGACAGAAGGAGGUGAAGGGUUCUUACGUUUCCAUCCACAGCUCUGGAUUCAGAGAUUUUCUACUCAAACCAGAGCUUCUCCGUGCCAUUAUUGACUGUGGUUUUGAGCAUCCAUCUGAAGUCCAGCAUGAAUGCAUUCCCCAAGCCAUCCUGGGCAUGGACAUCCUUUGCCAAGCAAAAUCUGGUAUGGGAAAAACAGCUGUGUUUGUGCUGGCCACACUGCAACAGAUUGAGCCGGUUGAUGGACAGGUAUCCGUUUUGGUAAUGUGCCACACACGAGAGUUGGCCUUCCAGAUCAGUAAAGAGUAUGAGCGGUUUUCCAAGUACAUGCCCUCAGUAAAAGCAGCAGUGUUCUUUGGUGGCAUGGCUAUUAAGAAGGAUGAAGAAGUGUUGAAGAACUGCCCUCACAUUGUUGUUGGAACGCCAGGCCGUAUCCUCGCUCUGGCCCAGUAUAAGACCCUUAUUCUGAAGCACAUCAAGCACUUUGUCCUGGAUGAGUGUGACAAAAUGUUGGAGCAGCUAGAUAUGAGGUGUGAUGUACAGGAUAUUUUCAGGCUCACACCCCAUGAGAAGCAGGUCAUGAUGUUCAGUGCAACGCUCAGUAAGGACAUACGACCAGUCUGUCGCAAAUUCAUGCAAGAUCCCAUGGAAGUAUUUGUGGAUGACGAGACCAAACUUACCCUCCAUGGACUACAACAGUACUACUGCAAGCUGAGAGACAGUGAGAAGAACCGCAAGCUCUUUGACCUGUUAGACGUAUUGGAAUUUAACCAGGUGGUGAUAUUUGUCAAAUCAAUCCAGCGCUGCAUGGCUUUGUCUCAGCUUCUAGUAGAACAGAAUUUCCCUGCCAUUUGCAUCCACAAGGGAAUGGGUCAGGAGGAGAGGCUCUCUCGCUAUCAGCAAUUCAAGGACUUCCAAAGACGGAUCUUGGUGGCCACUAACCUAUUUGGCCGAGGCAUGGACAUUGAGCGAGUCAAUAUUGUGUUCAACUAUGAUAUGCCAGAAGAUUCUGACACCUAUUUGCACAGGGUGAGAACUCCAAGGUUGCUCGAGCUGGCAGGUUUGGGACCAAAGGACUGGCCAUAACUUUUGUGUCUGAUGAGGCUGAUGCAAAGACUCUGAAUGAAGUGCAGGACCGCUUUGAGGUGAAUGUGGCAGAGCUGCCUGAUGAGAUUGACAUCUCGUCUUACAUUGAGCAGUCCAGAUGAGUACUCCAGCCAAGCAGACAUUUCCGUUCCAUGGAUUCUGUCUUGUAUUGGGUGUAGACACUUCACUGUUGAUUGAAAAGAUCUAUUCUUUAACCAUUUUUGUGUUCAAGAAUUCUUAUUUUUAUUGUCACUUCUAGAGAGGGCUGUAUGGUCCAUUUUAAUUUGUCUUAAUGUUUUUUGUUUUAUUAUUGUUGCUGUGACAUUAAACCUUUUUAUAAAAUGCCAUUUCA
RNA transcript from Thalassophryne amazonica, 1647 nucleotides. It is a transcript of the gene named ATP-dependent RNA helicase DDX39A-like, with no coding region annotated. The record is from RefSeq and is a predicted model, not a curated record. The transcript has 10 exons. NCBI's taxonomy places the organism in Eukaryota, Metazoa, Chordata, Actinopteri, Batrachoidiformes, Batrachoididae.